Molecule: antisense RNA, 75 nt
Filed under: Streptomyces regalis
Lineage: Bacteria; Bacillati; Actinomycetota; Actinomycetes; Kitasatosporales; Streptomycetaceae
Description: ASpks TB sRNA
Rfam family: ASpks TB sRNA
Source: Rfam by way of RNAcentral
CUUCAGCGACCCCAGGUACAGCGGCCGGUCCUCGGGCCGGUCCUGGCCGUAGGCGGAGAUCAGGGCGCCCGCCUC